Molecule: ribosomal RNA, 825 nt
Filed under: uncultured Actinomycetes bacterium
Lineage: Bacteria; Bacillati; Actinomycetota; Actinomycetes
Description: bacterial SSU rRNA
Rfam family: Bacterial small subunit ribosomal RNA
Source: RNAcentral
AGUCGAGCGAUGAACACCUUCGGGUGUGAAUUAGCGGCGAACGGGUGAGGAACACGUGAGAAAUCUGCCUUCACACUGGGAUAACUCCGGGAAACCGGGGCUAAUACCGGAUAUGAAAUCUGCGGGCAUCCGCGGAUUUGGAAAGUUUUUCGGUUGAAGAUGAUCUCGCGGCCUAUCAGCUUGUUGGUGAGGUAAUGGCUCACCAAGGCGACGACGGGUAGCCGGCCUGAGAGGGCGACCGGCCACACUGGGACUGAGACACGGCCCAGACUCCUACGGGAGGCAGCAGUGGGGAAUAUUGGGCAAUGGAGAAAACUCUGACCCAGCGACGCCGCGUGAGGGAUGAAGGCCUUCGGGUUGUAAACCUCUUUCAGUAGGGAAGAAGCGAAAGUGACGGUACCUACAGAAGAAGCACCGGCUAACUAUGUGCCAGCAGCCGCGGUAAUACAUAGGGUGCAAGCGUUGUCCGGAAUUAUUGGGCGUAAAGAGCUCGUAGGUGGUUCGAUACGUCGGAUGUGAAAAUCAGGGGCUCAACCCCUGACCUGCAUCCGAUACGGUCGAGCUGGAGUUUGGUAGGGGAGACUGGAAUUCCUGGUGUAGCGGUGGAAUGCGCAGAUAUCAGGAGGAACACCGAUGGCGAAGGCAGGUCUCUGGGCCAAUACUGACACUGAGGAGCGAAAGCGUGNGGAGCGAACAGGAUUAGAUACCCUGGUAGUCCACGCCGUAAACGAUGGGCGCUAGUUGUGCGGACCCUCCACGGGUUGUGCGACGCAGCUAACGCAUUAAGCGCCCCGCCUGGGGAGUACGAUCGCAAGAUUAAAACUC